This is a long non-coding RNA of Hipposideros armiger (great roundleaf bat), 1345 nucleotides long. RefSeq lists it as uncharacterized. The record is from RefSeq and is a predicted model, not a curated record. Lineage: Eukaryota; Metazoa; Chordata; Mammalia; Chiroptera; Hipposideridae. The transcript is spliced from 5 exons.
UGAGAACUAUGAAUCCAAAAGCAAAAAAAGGGGAAAAUUAGCACCUGCAGUAAGAACGGUCUGUUGGAGGCUAGGCUAGCACUGUCUUUUUCUGAAAAGGUGAGGAAGCAGAAACACAGAGAGCUUGACUACCUGGGCCUUGACUACAAUGUCACAUAAGAAGUUAAGUGGCACAGCCAGGGUUUGAACCCAGGCCUGCUAGCCAUCCCCUCAUAUGUACCAUGGGUGUGUUCUUUAGUUGGGAAGCCUCGCUGAGAACAAAGCAAGACGAAUGAAAUACCAGGGCCAGUUCUGCACAUGCUAAAACAGCAGAGCUAGAAGCAUUGAAGUUGCAAAAGUCCCUGUUGAUAAGCUUUCCGUAGCCACAACCUCAGAGCAGAGGGACCUAGAUGAGGUUGGCUGAACAAGCAACAGGUCGAUUUCCCAGGCCUUUGGCGCUCUGCCCAUCUCUGUACUCCCACCGUCUGGGAGGGUGCAGCCUUGUCUCUGAUUUCUUCAUUCUUCCCCACACCCUCGGCUGGUGGUCAGCAGCUUGGAUACAGGACCUGAUUGGAUUUGAAUCUUGACCCUCCUGCUUACCGGAGGUGUGACUUUAUGCAAGUGACUCACUAUCUCCUCAACUACAAAAUAUGAAGACUCCUAGCACCAUCCUCAUAAGGUUGUCUGUGGGGUUGAAUUAAUUAAUAUUUGGAGAGCACCGAGCACAAAUGCCUUAUAGGUGAUGUGACACCCAAGGUGACAAAGCUUAAAUGCCAUUCUCUAUGAAAAAUAACGAGCCAUUUAGAAGGAAGAGGAGGAGGAGGAGGAGGAGGAGAAAGGAACAAUAUCUUCGUCUUUAAGCCAAGGUGGAAAAGUGAACAGUGUGAAAAACAUAUAGCAGAGCCAUUCAUGAGACCACCCAGUGUCAUCCGAGGAAGAAAGAGCUGAGAAAGAAGUUGGAGACUGAAGAGAAUAAGCUCUGAUAUUCGUGCCCCACCAGGAGGACCAGCACCCAAUAAUCAUAGGAAGACUUUUCCUCACUCUUCCUGCCAAUGCCCAUGAAGUAUUCACUGUCUUCUGAAGGCAUUCUAACGCCUUCCAAAGCAGCUCUUAAGGCAAUCAUUCUUCAUCAUUGACUUUACUUCUGUGUUAAGAAGGAGUGCAAGCGCGAAUGGCCUGUGGGGCCAGGCAGAAAAAAAUCCACAUCACAAAGGUAGUGGCAUUGGACAUGCAUGUUAGCAUUAGUGAUAAAAGGGGGUGUUGGGUCUGAGGAGACAUAGAGAAGUUAUGACCUGUCUAAAGAGCAUACCCUGAGGGCCCACUGAUUGUGAUAUGAGUGUUGCCAAACCUUUCAAUUUGUAAAAUA